UCUCCGUAGGUGAACCUGCGGAGGGAUCAUUACAGAGUUCAUGCCCUACCGGGUAGAUCUCCCACCCUAUGUUAUUAUUACUUUGUUGCUUUGGCGGGCCGUUAGGCUCCGGCCCGACUACCGGCCCCGGCUGGUAAGCGCCCGCCAGAGGACCCAAAACCCUGAAUAUUAGUGUCGUCUGAGUACUAUAUACUAGUUAAAACUUUCAACAACGGAUCUCUUGGUUCUG
RNAcentral lists this unclassified non-coding RNA (229 nucleotides) under plant metagenome. RNAcentral describes it as "partial contains small subunit ribosomal RNA, internal transcribed spacer 1, and 5.8S ribosomal RNA". The record is from RNAcentral.